This 490-nucleotide ribosomal RNA is filed under the name uncultured bacterium. RNAcentral's name for it is "partial 16S ribosomal RNA". It matches the Rfam family "Bacterial small subunit ribosomal RNA", at positions 30 to 507 of the family's 1533-position model. The record is from RNAcentral.
AUUGAACGCUGGCGGCAGGCCUAACACAUGCAAGUCGAACGGUAACAGGAAGAAGCUUGCUUCUUUGCUGACGAGUGGCGGACGGGUGAGUAAUGUCUGGGAAACUGCCCGAUGGAGGGGGAUAACUACUGGAAACGGUAGCUAAUACCGCAUAACGUCGCAAGACCAAAGAGGGGGACCUUCUGGCCCCUUGCCAUCGGAUGUGCCCCGAUGGGAUUAGCUAGUAGGUGGGGUAACGGCUCACCUAGGCGACGAGCCCUAUCUGGUCUGUGAGGAAGAACAGCCACACUGGAACGUAGACACGGGCCAAAAUCCUAAGGGAGGCAGCAGUGGGGAAUAUUGCACAAUGGGCGCAAGCCUGAUGCAGCCAUGCCGCGUGUAUGAAGAAGGCCUUCGGGUUGUAAAGUACUUUCAGCGGGGAGGAAGGGAGUAAAGUUAAUACCUUGGCUCAUUGACGUUACCCGCAGAAGAAGCACCGGCUAACUCCGUG